GAUGAACGCUGGCGGCGUGCCUAAUACAUGCAAGUCGAGCGAACAGAUAAGGAGCUUGCUCCUUUGACGUUAGCGGCGGACGGGUGAGUAACACGUGGGUAACCUACCUAUAAGACUGGGAUAACUUCGGGAAACCGGAGCUAAUACCGGAUAACAUUUGGAACCGCAUGGUUCUAAAGUGAAAGAUGGUUUUGCUAUCACUUAUAGAUGGACCCGCGCCGUAUUAGCUAGUUGGUAAGGUAACGGCUUACCAAGGCGACGAUACGUAGCCGACCUGAGAGGGUGAUCGGCCACACUGGAACUGAGACACGGUCCAGACUCCUACGGGAGGCAGCAGUAGGGAAUCUUCCGCAAUGGGCGAAAGCCUGACGGAGCAACGCCGCGUGAGUGAUGAAGGGUUUCGGCUCGUAAAACUCUGUUAUUAGGGAAGAACAAAUGUGUAAGUAACUGUGCACGUCUUGACGGUACCCAAUCAGAAAGCCACGGCUAACUACGUG
Molecule: ribosomal RNA, 497 nt
Filed under: uncultured bacterium
Lineage: Bacteria
Description: partial 16S ribosomal RNA
Rfam family: Bacterial small subunit ribosomal RNA
Source: RNAcentral